This 496-nucleotide ribosomal RNA is filed under the name uncultured bacterium. RNAcentral describes it as "partial 16S ribosomal RNA". It matches the Rfam family "Bacterial small subunit ribosomal RNA", at positions 28 to 506 of the family's 1533-position model. The record is from RNAcentral.
GAUGAACGCUGGCGGCGUGCCUAAUACAUGCAAGUCGAGCGAACGGACGAGAAGCUUGCUUCUCUGAUGUUAGCGGCGGACGGGUGAGUAACACGUGGAUAACCUACCUAUAAGACUGGGAUAACUUCGGGAAACCGGAGCUAAUACCGGAUAAUAUUUUGAACCGCAUGGUUCAAAAGUGAAAGACGGUCUUGCUGUCACUUAUAGAUGGAUCCGCGCUGCAUUAGCUAGUUGGUAAGGUAACGGCUUACCAAGGCAACGAUGCAUAGCCGACCUGAGAGGGGGCUCGGCCACACGGGAACUGAGACAGGGUCCAACCCCCUAGGGGAGGCAGCAGGGGGAAAUCUCCCGCAAGGGGCGAAGCCCGGACGGAGCCACGCGGCGUGAGUAAUGAGGGCUUUGGGAUCGUAAACCCUUUUUAUUAGGAAAAAAAAGAUGUGAAAUAACCGGUCCCAUUUUUGAGGUUCCCUAAACAAAAAGCCACGCCUACCUACGG